UGAGUGGCGGACGGGUGAGGUAACGCGUGGGCAACCUGCCCUGUACAGGGGGACAACACUUAGAAAUAGGUGCUAAUACCGCAUAACGGGGGGAGCCGCAUGGCACCCCCUGAAAACUCCGGUGGUACAGGAUGGGCCCGCGUCUGAUUAGCUGGUUGGCAGGGUAACGGCCUACCAAGGCGACGAUCAGUAGCCGGCCUGAGAGGGCGGACGGCCACACUGGGACUGAGACACGGCCCAGACUCCUACGGAAGGCAGCAG
Molecule: ribosomal RNA, 261 nt
Filed under: uncultured bacterium
Lineage: Bacteria
Description: partial 16S ribosomal RNA
Rfam family: Bacterial small subunit ribosomal RNA
Source: RNAcentral